GCCCCCGUAGCUCAGUGGAUAGAGCGACGGUUUCCUAAACCGUAGGUCACAGGUCCGAUUCCUGUCGGGGGUA
Molecule: transfer RNA, 73 nt
Filed under: Planctomycetota bacterium
Lineage: Bacteria; Pseudomonadati; Planctomycetota
Description: Planctomycetes bacterium (activated sludge metagenome) tRNA-Arg
Rfam family: tRNA
About the family: Transfer RNA (tRNA) molecules are approximately 80 nucleotides in length.
Source: RNAcentral